AACGAACGCUGGCGGCAUGCCUAACACAUGCAAGUCGAACGAGACCUUCGGGUCUAGUGGCGCACGGGUGCGUAACGCGUGGGAACCUGCCCUUAGGUUCGGAAUAACUCCCCGAAAGGGGUGCUAAUACCGGAUAAUGUCUUCGGACCAAAGAUUUAUCGCCUUUGGAUGGGCCCGCGUUGGAUUCGCUAGUUGGUAGGGUAAAAGCCUACCAAGGCGACGAUUCAUAGCUGGUCUGAGAGGAUGAUCAGCCACACUGGGACUGAGACACGGCCCAGACUCCUACGGGAGGCAGCAGUGGGGAAUAUUGGACAAUGGGCGAAAGCCUGAUCCAGCAAUGCCGCGUGAGUGAUGAAGGCCUUAGGGUUGUAAAGCUCUUUUACCCGGGAUGAUAAUGACAGUACCGGGAGAAUAAGCUCCGGCUAACUCCGUG
Molecule: ribosomal RNA, 433 nt
Filed under: uncultured bacterium
Lineage: Bacteria
Description: partial 16S ribosomal RNA
Rfam family: Bacterial small subunit ribosomal RNA
Source: RNAcentral